UAUACAAUAGAUAUUUAUUAUUAUUAAAUAAAAGAUGUUUACUAGAUAAUUAAUUAAAUUAUAAGAUUUUUAUGAGGUAAACAAAUUAAAUGGAGACAAGUGUAAAACAUAUAAUUGACCAAUUGUAAUAUAAGCAUUUGUUAUUUAAUAAAUUUUUAUAAUAAUUAUUAUUAUAAACUAAUAUAUAUAUAUAUAUAAGUCAUAAAGAAACAAAAGAAAAAAGAAAUAGUUACAGAGAACCAUACGGAAAUAAGAAGAAAGAAAGAAGAAAGAAAAGAAAAAGGAGAAACUAAGGAUUAAAAGCUUGGAGUUUAAUUGCUAGCAAAGAACCCGAGGCAUCGAUACCGAAAGGAAAUAAAAAAGUCGUCGAGGAGUAAUCGAACAAAUCCAGGUCAGUAGGAGUCAAAAUCUGGUCCAGCAUCCGAACCAAUCCCGAUCUCAGCAACCUUGGGGAUGUAUAUUUUAUUUUGGUAUAUGUGGCAUGUACCUAGGUUGUUUUUUGAGUUAAUGUGGUUUUGGAUUGUAAGGAUAAUAUGUGAUGAUUUAAUUUGGUAAAUGAAAGAUUAAAUAUUUGAAAUGGUAUAUA
Molecule: long non-coding RNA, 586 nt
Organism: Gossypium arboreum
Lineage: Eukaryota; Viridiplantae; Streptophyta; Magnoliopsida; Malvales; Malvaceae
Exons: 3
Source: RefSeq, a predicted model, not a curated record